RNAcentral lists this ribosomal RNA (206 nucleotides) under uncultured bacterium. Its description in RNAcentral is "partial 16S ribosomal RNA". It matches the Rfam family "Bacterial small subunit ribosomal RNA", at positions 568 to 774 of the family's 1533-position model. The record is from RNAcentral.
UGCGUAGGCGGCUUUGCAAGUUGGGUGUGAAAGCCCUCGGCUCAACCGAGGAAUGCGCUCAAUACUGCCGAGCUCGAGAGAGACAGAGGUAAGCGGAACUGAUGGUGGAGCGGUGAAAUGCGUUGAUAUCAUCAGGAACACCGGUGGCGAAGGCGGCUUACUGGGUCUUUUCUGACGCUGAGGCACGAAAGCCAGGGGAGCGAACG